Molecule: long non-coding RNA, 239 nt
Organism: Otolemur garnettii (small-eared galago)
Lineage: Eukaryota; Metazoa; Chordata; Mammalia; Primates; Galagidae
Exons: 3
Source: RefSeq, a predicted model, not a curated record
AGUGAAGGACAUUUGUCUGUUUCUUUGCAGGACUGUGGGCAGAAGACAAAGAAACCUCUCUGAGCCUGGGUCAUCUCUCAGUGCUGUUGUUACAGGGAGCCAGGACUAGACCCAAGGAGCCAAGGCAAGCACACUGAAGGAGGAAACUGCUUUAGCAGCAGUCCAGAGAAGAGCAGUGUUUCUGGGCCAUGUGUCAUUUGCAUCCAUGCCGGAAAUUUUCACCAUUCUCAUCAUCCGUA